AGCGAACGCUGGCGGCAGGCCUAAUACAUGCAAGUCGAGCGGGUCCUUCGGGAUUAGCGGCGGACGGGUGAGUAACGCGUGGGAACGUGCCCUUUGGUACGGAACAACUGAGGGAAACUUCAGCUAAUACCGUAUGUGCCCUUCGGGGAAAGAUUUAUCGCCAUUGGAGCGGCCCGCGUUGGAUUAGGUAGUUGGUGAGGUAAAGGCUCACCAAGCCUACGAUCCAUAGCUGGUCUGAGAGGAUGACCAGCCACACUGGGACUGAGACACGGCCCAGACUCCUACGGGAGGCAGCAGUAGGGAAUCUUGCGCAAUGGGCGAAAGCCUGACGCAGCCAUGCCGCGUGAAUGAUGAAGGUCUUAGGAUUGUAAAAUUCUUUCUACCGGGGACGAUAAUGACGGUACCCGGAGAAGAAGCCCCGGCUAACUUCGUGCCAGCAGCCGCGGUAU
This 449-nucleotide ribosomal RNA is filed under the name uncultured bacterium. RNAcentral's name for it is "bacterial SSU rRNA". It matches the Rfam family "Bacterial small subunit ribosomal RNA", at positions 29 to 523 of the family's 1533-position model. The record is from RNAcentral.